AUGACAUCCUGCCACCCCGCGCACCGCAUACACACACACACCACCACACACACACCACACACACUACACACAUUCACACCACACACACCACCACACACACACCACACACACUACACACAUUCACACCAAACACCACACACGCACACCACCAUACGCAUACGUCACCACCACACACACCACACACUACACACAUUCAAACCACACAGACACCACACACACCACACACACUACACACAUUCAUACCAAACACCACUCACACACACCACCAUACGCACACGUCACCACCACACACACCACACACUACACACAUUCACACCACACAGACACCACACACACACACCACACACACACACCACACACACUACACACAUUCACACCACACAGACACUACACACACCACCACACACACUACACACAUUCACACCACACACACCACCACACACACCAAACACACACCACACACAUUCACACCACACACACCACCACACACACACCACACACACUACACACAUUCAUACCAAACACCACUCACACACACCACCAUACGCACACGUCUCCACCCCACACACCACACACACUACACACAUUCACACCACACACACCACCACACACACACCACACACACUACACACAUUCAUACCAAACACCACUCACACACACCACCAUAUGCACACGUCACCACCACACACACCACACACUACACACAUUCACACCACACAGACACCACACACACCACCACACACACACACCACACACACUACACACAUUCACACCACACAGACACUACACACACCACCACACACACACCACACACACUACACACAUUCACACCACACACACCACCACACACACCACACACACACCACACACAUUCACACCACACACACCACCACACACACCACCACACACACACCACACACACUACACACAUUCAUACCAAACACCACUCACACACACCACCAUAUGCACAUGUCACCACCACACACACCACACACUACACACAUUCACACCAAACACCACACACGCACACCACCAUACACACGCCACCACCACACACACCACACACACACUACACACAUUCACACCACACAGACACCACACAUGCACACCACCAUAUGCACACAUCACCACCACACACACCACACACUACACACAUUCACACCACACAAACACCACACACACACAACACACAUUCACACCACACAGACACCACACACACCACCAUACACACACAUCACCACCACACACUACACACAUUCACACCACACAGACACCACACACACACACCACCAAACGCACACGUCACCACCACACACACCACACACACUACACAUUCACACCACACAGACACCACACGCACACCACCAUAUGCACACAUCACCACCACACACACACUAUGCACAUUCACACCAAACACCACACACACCACCAUACGCACGUCACCACCACACAUGCCACACACACACUACACACAUUCACACCACACAAACACCACACACACCACCAUACACACAUAUCACCACCACACACACUACACACAUUCACACCACACAAACACCACACACCACCAUACACACACAUCACCACCACACACACUACACACAUUCACACCACACAAACACCACACACACACACGACCAUAUGCACACGUCACCAGCAUGCACACACUGUGCACAUUCACACCACACAAACACCACACAUACACACACCACCAUACGCACAUGUCACCACCACACACACACUACACACAUUCACAUCACACACCACACAUACACCACACAUACACACACCACCAUACACACAUGUCACCACCACACACACACCACACACACACUACACAUUCACACCACACGCCACACAUACACACGCCACCAUACACACAUGUCACCACCACACACACACCAAGCACACACUACACACAUUCACACCACACACACACACCACCAUACGCACAUGUCACCACCACACACCACACACACACUGCACACUACACACAUUCACACUAUACGAACACUACACACACACACACACACCCCACCAUAG
Long non-coding RNA from Macaca fascicularis (crab-eating macaque), 2043 nucleotides. The record is from Ensembl. NCBI's taxonomy places the organism in Eukaryota, Metazoa, Chordata, Mammalia, Primates, Cercopithecidae.